UUAAGUGACUAAGCGUACAAGGUGGAUGCCUUGGCAAUCAGAGGCGAUGAAGGACGUGCUAAUCUGCGAAAAGCUUGGAUGAGUCGAUAAGAGGCGUUUAAUCCAAGAUGUCCGAAUGGGGAAACCCAGUAGAUGAAGAAUCUACUAUCACUUACUGAAUCCAUAGGUAAGUGAGGCAAACCGGGAGAACUGAAACAUCUAAGUACCCCGAGGAAAAGAAAUCAACCGAGAUUUCGUUAGUAGCGGCGAGCGAACGCGAAGGAGCCUGUUAGUGAUAAUGACAGAGACAGAGGAACAAGCUGGGAAGCUUGGCGAUACAGGGUGAUAGCCCCGUACUCGAAGUCCAGGUCAUGGUACUAAGCUAACGACAAGUAGGGCGGGACACGUGAUAUCCUGUUUGAAGAUGGGGGGACCAUCCUCCAAGGCUAAAUACUCCUGAUUGACCGAUAGUGAACCAGUACUGUGAAGGAAAGGCGAAAAGAACCCCGGUGAGGGGAGUGAAAUAGAACCUGAAACCUUGUACGUACAAGCAGUGGGAGCCCUUUUGGGGUGACUGCGUACCUUUUGUAUAAUGGGUCAGCGACUUAUAUUUUGUAGCGAGGUUAACCGAAUAGGGGAGCCGAAGGGAAACCGAGUCUUAACUGGGCGUCUAGUUGCAAGGUAUAGACCCGAAACCCGGUGAUCUAGCCAUGGGCAGGUUGAAGGUUGGGUAACACUAACUGGAGGACCGAACCGACUAAUGUUGAAAAAUUAGCGGAUGACUUGUGGCUGGGGGUGAAAGGCCAAUCAAACCGGGAGAUAGCUGGUUCUCCCCGAAAUCUAUUUAGGUAGAGCCUUGAGCGGACACCUUCGGGGGUAGAGCACUGUUUCGGCUAGGGGUCCAUCCCGGAUUACCAACCCGAUGCAAACUACGAAUACCGAAGAGUGAUACUCAGGAGACACACGGCGGGUGCUAACGUCCGUCGUGAAGAGGGAAACAACCCAGACCGCCAGCUAAGGUCCCAAAGUCUAUAUUAAGUGGGAAACGAAGUGGGAAGGCUUAGACAGCUAGGAUGUUGGCUUAGAAGCAGCCAUCAUUUAAAGAAAGCGUAAUAGCUCACUAGUCGAGUCGGCCUGCGCGGAAGAUGUAACGGGGCUCAAAUAUAGCACCGAAGCUGCGGCAUCAGACGAAAGUCUGUUGGGUAGGGGAGCGUUCUGUAAGCGGAUGAAGGUGAAUCGAGAGGUUUGCUGGACGUAUCAGAAGUGCGAAUGCUGACAUAAGUAACGAUAAAACGGGUGAAAAACCCGUUCGCCGGAAGACCAAGGGUUCCUGUCCAACGUUAAUCGGGGCAGGGUGAGUCGGCCCCUAAGGCGAGGCUGAAAAGCGUAGUCGAUGGGAAACGGGUUAAUAUUCCCGUACUUGGAUAAACUGCGAUGUGGGGACGGAGCAGGUUAGGUUAUCGCACUGUUGGAUAUGUGCGUUUAAGUUUGUAGGUGGGAAGUUUAGGCAAAUCCGGACUUCUAUUAAACACUGAGAGAUGAUGACGAGGCUCUACGGAGCUGAAGUAACCGAUACCACACUUCCAGGAAAAGCCACUAAGCUUCAGGUUUAUCUAAACCGUACUGAAAACCGACACAGGUGGUCAGGUAGAGAAUACUCAGGCGCUUGAGAGAACUCGGGUGAAGGAACUAGGCAAAAUAGCACCGUAACUUCGGGAGAAGGUGCGCCGGCGUAGAUUGUAGUCCCUUGCGGAUGAAGGUUGAACCGGUCGAAGAUACCAGCUGGCUGCAACUGUUUAUUAAAAACACAGCACUCUGCAAACACGAAAGUGGACGUAUAGGGUGUGAUGCCUGCCCGGUGCUGGAAGGUUAAUUGAUGGUGUAAUCGAAAGAGAAGCUCCUGAUCGAAGCCCCAGUAAACGGCGGCCGUAACUAUAACGGUCCUAAGGUAGCGAAAUUCCUUGUCGGGUAAGUUCCGAC
Molecule: ribosomal RNA, 1959 nt
Filed under: human gut metagenome
Description: bacterial LSU rRNA
Rfam family: Bacterial large subunit ribosomal RNA
Source: RNAcentral